RNA transcript from Felis catus (domestic cat), 4974 nucleotides. RefSeq lists it as uncharacterized. Lineage: Eukaryota; Metazoa; Chordata; Mammalia; Carnivora; Felidae. The transcript has 6 exons. The record is from RefSeq and is a predicted model, not a curated record.
CAUACCCAAGAAUGUGAAAACCUCUGCCAUUCACAGAUGUAUUCCACACACAUAGAAAGAACUCAUUCAAAUCAACAAAAACCAAAACACACAACCUAAUCACAAAGUGGCUUCCAAAAGGCAAUUAUUUCACAAAAGAAACACGUAAGUGGCCAAGACACACACAGGGGCGGGUCCCACGAAUACACCGUACCUCCCAGCACCUGAGCCCCAGCAACCAGCUAACACACGAGAAGAGGCAAUACCAGGCAUCAGCCAGCCCUGAGCUCCCACCCGCUGUUGCUCGAGGGGAACAGACACGUGCCACCACUCACGCCCUGCUCCUCCAAGGCAACCCAAUAUGAUGCAUGUGGAUCUGCAGGCAGCCUCUGCACAAACCGGAGCACCCACAGGAGAAAGAAUAAACCGUGCUGUGCUCACACACUGCGCCUUCGACAGCAGGGGAGGACCAGCACAGCCACGCAAGGAAAACAGGUGCAUUGCGCACACACAGCGCUCAAGGGUUGGCUCAACAUGAAGCGAAGAACAAGCCAAAGCCAUCGCUGGUGAAAGUCAAGACCGUGGUUACCUUUGGGGGACGUUCGGUGGGAGUCAGUAGGAGGUAGGAAGCACGGUAAGGUUCCAUUUCUUCAUCCAGGUGGUGGUUCCAAGAAUGUGUUCGCUGAGUGAAAGAUAUGGAAGAUCAGCUGAAAGUAGUGGCCUAGGAUGUUCCAAACGUCCACCGCGUGCCACACAAAAAUGCAGCUCUGUGCGGGCUGCUAACCCCCAAGAGAAGCAAGGAAGCCCCACGCAUCUGAGUGUGGAAUCAGGAAAGAGCAUCCAGACACCCCAGGAGCUACCGCCACACCCUCCUCGCCUCCAGCUGUUCAUCUGGGGGAGUCCACAUCACCUUCCUAAACAUAAUUGGCCACAAGACACUGAAUGCAGAAGCAGCUGGAAGAAUAAAGAUCUUGCACUAAGCCAAUGCCAAUGCCAAUGCCACGCUUCUACACAGUGUUGUUCUGAAAAUGUACGUAUUUUUUGCAUGAAAGGUAUGAGUACGUUAAUCUGUACUAAUUUCUUGUCUUUAAGUGAAUUCAUCACAUCUGAGAUGCUCGGAUUUGGUUUGGUUUCCUUAAUGUUUGUUUUUGAGAGAGAGACACAGGGCACGUGAGGGGAGGGGCAGAGGGAGAGGGUCACAGAGAAUCUGAGACAAGUCCAGGCUGGCAGCUGGCAGCACAGAGCCCCACAUGGGGCUCUACACUAUCAACUGUGAGAUCACCACCUGAGCCAGAGUCGGACCCUUAACACAGAGAGCCACCCAGGCGCCCGCUUCAAUUCUCGGUUUAAUCUCACCACAGUAGAGAUCAAGAGACACAACCCCCACACUCGAUUGCUCUCUGGGGCCCUCAAUAAUCCCCUGAUGUCCAAGUGUCCCGACACCACCGAGUCUGAGAAACACUGACCCAGGGAACAAAGGGCACUCUCGCCUUCUUCCCGUCAACUUCCCAAUUUCCAUAGGGUUUCCCCAGCUCACCAAACUCUCUAGGGCCUGGCCCACAGGACGCAAGGGCCUAAGGCGGCCUUUGUUCGUGGCAGCCGCCUCGGGGGACAGAACGUGUGCAGCCUGUGCGGGGUCAGGGGUCGGACAAGGCGGGAAGGUCUCCAACAGCCUCUGCGAGGGCGGGCGGCACACUCCUUACACGACAGCCGCCGCGGCUCAGGCGGGCACCCGGAGAACCUCCCAGAAGCCACGACCUGCAGUGAGAAGGGCCCUUACCGCCUGCCCAGCGGUUAAGCCAGCACUGCCACGGGAGGCGCCCCCGCACACACACCCCGCCGCCACAGAGCGGCCACCACGACUCACGGGAGCCUGCGGGCGUCCACACGGACAGGCCGGCCUUCCGCCCGAGGGUGGCCAAAUGCUGUCCCCCAAGUGAGCAGAACCAGGGCGCCCCGAACCUCCCGGCCUCUCAAGGCUGGCACUGUGGCCUCUGCCGGAGUCCGAGCGGCGCUGGGUCCACCAGAACUCACCUGCCUCGAUCGGGACGGUCUUCGGAGAAACAGGGACCCCAGGGCGACCUCCUCGUAGGUGGAAGACUUCUAGCAAGGGAGAAGCCGGAUGCUCAGAAGAGCACCGCCCUCGCCCUCCACAGCGCAUGCGGGCUCCUACCGCCUCCAAGAACCAGCCGGCCUCCCGCCCACCUCUCCACCUGGCAAAUGCGCUGUGGCGCCAGCACCAACGGAAACGACUGCGUCAGGGCAGAAAGACUACCGGGUGGGACGCUGCACCGGCAGAGACUCCUCAACACGCACCCGCCCGGACGCACUGGGGUACAACGUCAGAGGCGAACCCGAUCUCAGCUGCGGACCUUGGACGAUGGACACACAUCAGCACAGGUUUGGGGCUGUGACAAAGGCCUCGCCCUGGCGGGGGGUUUGGAUACCUGCUCAGGGGAGAGGCUGCCUCAGUAAGGGCAGCAGGUUCCCUGGAUGUGGGAAAGCUUGGGAAAUUAGUGCUUCAUGGGCUUCCCUGGAAAACUUACACUGGCAACAGGAAGCAGGUACCCCAGUGCGUUGGAAAGCAUUGAGCACAAGAGGUUGGCCUGUGGACAGAAGCCCGGGUGGAAAGCAACCUGACUUCCUUCUAGGGCAAAAUGAAGAUAUCAGCAGGAAGGAGUCAGGAGCAAUGCAGCUGCCACCCAGACAGCAAUCUCCUAGCAGUUGGCAGCAAGCUCCCACACCUUGGUCCCACCUGGACAAAUCUCUUUCUGAUAUCAGAGGAAGCAUUAUCAUCUUACAGAGAACAUGGUGCUUGGUAGGCUGUGGUAGGCAUGCCAAUGGUCAACCUGCUGACAACUUCCCCCUGCUGCCUGAAAUGCCUGCCUUCCUAGCAGCUGAAGUGUUGCCUUUGCACAUUGCAAUCUCAGAGCUGGUCAGCCAAGAAAAGGAUCAAUCAAAGUGGACAAGACCAGAGCCCGGUUCCACUCAUGUAAGUGUUAGAGCCAACACCAUCACCUAAUUACCCCUGCCUUUAUACAUUGAAGGAAAGAGCUGGAAGACAGGUGAAGGCCAAAAGACUCUUUGACCUGAGGUGGAACAUGGAAGUUACUCUUUGGUCCGCAAAGAUUCUCCCUUAGGAUGCCUUUUGAACCCACUGGAAACAGUUGGGUUUGCAAAAUGUGGAAAGGACUGAUCCUGUAACACUGCAUGGCCUUACUAACCAGGGCAAAUAGACGGCUGUUGCCGUAGGUUCAGCCCUUCGGGGCUAAUGGACCAGGAGCCUCUUGCAGAAUGUGUUUGGUCAGUAACCAGGCCGGACAAAGUUUUCUUGGAUUGUUGAUCUGCUCUUCAUAAGAAAAUCGAACACAUUCUUGGAACCACCACCUGGAUGAAGAAAUGGAACCUUACCGUGCUUCCUACCUCCUACUGACUCCCACCGAACGUCCCCCAAAGACUGCAGAUCAAAAUCGCCAGUUGCAAGAGAGCCUGGAGGUGGUGGAGCAGAAGAUGCAGCAGACCCUGAGGAAGGCUAAGACGCUGUGCGAGGUGGAAGACAAGCGGGCCCAGAUGGUGGCCGCCCUCUGCAAUGUGGGGCCCACCUUUCCUCCUGGGUCCCCUGAUGGGAAUGUCAUUUUCAUGGCUGUUCGUUCUUCUAUCUCGAUUAUCACCGGUAACAUCGGCAAACCAAAAUCCGUUAACAAAGUGACAUCUCUCUUUGGUAUUACUUUGAGAUUGGAAUGCUUUUCAAAAUGCAGGCAUCAUCCCCAUUUUUUUCACCUCCCGUUUUGUCUGAUGUGUGGUUUGCAGGUGACUGCAACAAAGACUCACUGCUUUUUAGAGUUAAGUCAACGACUUAAAUCUGAAGAUGUCAGCCUUGGAUAGGACAGGGGUGCUUGGCGGGCUCAAUCUGGAGUUUUGGACUGGAUAUCAGGGUCACGAGUUUGAACCCCACGUAAGAUAUAGAGCUUACAAAAAAUUAAUGAAAGCAUGGAAUAUUUCCCAGAAAUAAGAAAAGCAUAUUCUGUUUUCCUUUUAAUAGGAAAUUUAUUGUCAAAUUUGGUUCCAUACAACACCCAGUGUUCAACCCAACACAUGCCCUCCUGAAUACCCAUUGACUACCCUCCCCUCCCUCCCACCCCUAUCUGCCCUCAGCUUUUUCUCAGUUUUUAAGAGUCUCAUGCUUUGGCUCUCUCCCACACUAACUUCUUUUUUUUCCUACGCCUUUUUCAUGGGUUCCUUUUAAGUUUCUCCAGAUUCACUUGAGUGAACACAUAUCGUAUCUGUCUUUCACUUACCAUAACACUCUCCAGUUCAAUCCACAUUGCUACAAUUGUCCAUAUUUUAUUCUCAUUGGCACGUAGUACUCCAUUGUGUAUAUAAACCACAGUUUCUUCAUCCAUUGAUCCGUUGAUGGACAUUCAGGCUCUUUCCACAAUUUGGUUAUUGUUGACAUUGGUGCUAUUAAUAUUGGGGUAUAGGGGCCCCUAUGCAUCAGUACUCCUGUAUCCCUUGGGUAAAUUCCUAGCAGUGCUACUGUUGUGUCAUAGUUAAGAUCUAUUUUUAAUUUUUUGAGGAAACUCGGCACUGUUUUCCAGAGCUGUUGCAGCAGUUUGCAUUCCCACCAACGGUGCAGGAGGGCUCCUGUUUCACCACAUCCUCGCCAGCAUCUACAUUCUCCUGAACUGUUCAUUUUUGCCACAAUGACUGGCGGAGGUGAUAUCUGAGUGUCGUUUUUCUUUGUAUUUCCCUGAUGAGGAGCGACGUUAAGCAUCUUUUCAUGUGCCUGCUGACCAUCAAGAUUUCUUCGUUAGAGAAAUGUCUAUUCAUGUUUUGUGCCCAAUUCUACACGGGAUUAUUUGCUUCUCGGAGCGAAAUUUGGUGAGCUCGUAUUAGGUUUUGGAUACUAGCCCUUUGUCCGAUAUAUCAUUUGCAAAUAUCUUUUCCAAUUCCGUUGGUUCCUUUUAUUUGCUGUGAAGCUUUUUAUCUUCAUGA